RNAcentral lists this ribosomal RNA (427 nucleotides) under Acinetobacter sp. sk0927 1-1. RNAcentral describes it as "partial 16S ribosomal RNA". It matches the Rfam family "Bacterial small subunit ribosomal RNA", at positions 530 to 970 of the family's 1533-position model. Lineage: Bacteria; Pseudomonadati; Pseudomonadota; Gammaproteobacteria; Moraxellales; Moraxellaceae. The record is from RNAcentral. RNAcentral also lists the same sequence under 1 other name.
GGGAANNCGUUUAUCCGGGAUUUNCUGGGCGUAAAGCGUGCGUAGGCGGCUUAAUUAAGUCAAAUGUGAAAUCCCCGAGCUUAACUUGGGAAUUGCAUUCGAUACUGGUUAGCUAGAGUAUGGGAGAGGAUGGUANAAUUCCAGGUGUAGCGGUAAAAUGCGUAAAGAUCUGGAGGAAUACCGAUGGCAAGGCACCCUCUUGCCCUAAAACUGACGCUAAUNACGAAACUUGGGGAGCCACAGGAUUAAAUACCCUGGUGUCCUUCCCUAAACGAUGUCACCACCCGUUGGGUCUUUUNAACCUUAGGGGCCCCUAACCAAAAAAAAAAANCGCUUGGGGAUUUGCCCGCAAGACUAAACUCAAAUUGUUUUUUGGAGCCCCCAAACANCGGUGGGGCUGGGUGUUUUUUUUUUUCAACGGAAAACC